UAAUCGAAUUUUAAACUAUUUUUAGUCUCUCGUGGGUAUAUAUCGCCAAGUGGCACGUUUUCUCCCAUACCGAGACACUAAUUAGAGUAAAAAAUGACAUCGCCUGAGAUUGUUUUCAACUUCCUUGAGUACAGAUUUAGUGACUCGCACGAUAGAAAAUGUUUGCAGGGCGACAAAAAGGCAUCAGCAGCACACGCAGGUAACAGCUGAAAAACAUGCAAAUCAUUCCCGAGAUGCGCACACCACACACGUGUGGUGUGCGCAUUUUUCAAGAAAGGUCGUGCACGGUAGUAAGAAAAAAAAUGAAAAAUGCAUUGAGCUCUUUCGAGACGAGCUCAAUGAUCGGAGAUUUUCGUUGCAAAUAAAAUAAAAUUACAAAGGUAAAUUUGGAUAAAAUUACGGAAAGAAAUUUAAUAUGCUGCAGUGGUAUAACAGAAAUUAUUUCAUAUCGCUUCCGAAUCGAAUAGGCCGAACAAACAGCGUGAAACGUCCUGAAGUUUGGGAAUCUUUAAAACUGAAAUGCUUUCUACAAUUUAUGCUGCGAUGGAAUAUUUUAACGCAAUGGUUUUAAACUGCUAAUUAUAGACGGACGUGCACAUUUGAUGUCUGUAAAAUAUUGUGUGUAUGGCGUAACGGAACUUCUGGGAAAAUGUGGUGCUUACUCCUAUAGGCUGGUACUACGGUCUUUUUUACGGAAAAAUUUCCGAAAAUCGUUCUUUCGGUGGUUUGAAAAGGUUACCACAUUUGAUUUUUUGGGUUUCUUUGGCCAAAAUGGUGCCAUCUACAAAUAAUAUGGCAUCAAACAAUUAAUCAGCUGCUUAAAAGCAUGUGUACACACAAAUGUGAGUGUAUGGGUCACACUAAAAUUAAUGUAUGUUGUUGUAAUUUGAACCAAACCCCACCCCUUCGUAAUUAAUAUAUAAUGAAACGCAAAACAAUUUAAAAACAA
This is a long non-coding RNA of Stomoxys calcitrans (stable fly), 949 nucleotides long. RefSeq lists it as uncharacterized. The record is from RefSeq and is a predicted model, not a curated record. The transcript is spliced from 4 exons. NCBI's taxonomy places the organism in Eukaryota, Metazoa, Arthropoda, Insecta, Diptera, Muscidae.